GCCCCGGUAGCUCAGCCUGGUUAGAUGCCAUGGACAGCAGAGAGCGUUGGCUUGGUAAGUCAAAGGUCACGGGUUCGAAACCCGUCCGGGGCUCCA
Molecule: transfer RNA, 96 nt
Filed under: Candidatus Bathyarchaeota archaeon
Lineage: Archaea; Thermoproteati; Candidatus Bathyarchaeota
Description: tRNA-Thr
Rfam family: tRNA
About the family: Transfer RNA (tRNA) molecules are approximately 80 nucleotides in length. Their secondary structure includes four short double-helical elements and three loops (D, anti-codon, and T loops).
Source: RNAcentral